This is an RNA transcript of Zea mays, 715 nucleotides long. RefSeq lists it as uncharacterized. Lineage: Eukaryota; Viridiplantae; Streptophyta; Magnoliopsida; Poales; Poaceae. The transcript is spliced from 2 exons. The record is from RefSeq and is a predicted model, not a curated record.
GGCGACAGCGGGGACGACGCUAAGUCGAGCAAUGGCGAAGCGGCCCGUGGUGGCAGUAACGGUGGAGAGAAGCAGGGGGAUGAAUCCAACGGUGGCGGGAUACUUAGCGCGGUGGCUUCCAGGAUCGGCGUGGUCGUGUCCGGCGCCAACGGGGACCACAGCGGCAGCGCUGAGGAUGGUGCCAAGACGAGCGCUGGCGAUGCUGGUCACGGUAGCAAGGGCAAGGAGAAGGGGCGUGGUGUGAACGGUGGUAGAAUAGUCGAGCAGAUCAUUUCCAAUCUGCCCUCAGAUGAUCAGGCGCCUGAUGCCGAUGAAGCUUCCUUGCUCAUCGCCAUUAUCAAAGAUUAGCUCCAUGUUCCGAAGGCUCUCUAGGUCGUCCUCAACGCCAGGAUCAAAUCAUCAGCUGAGCCGGAGACUGAAAACAAUAAAGAAAAGCAAGCAGCUGGUCAUAGUAAACAUCAUGUAGCGAGGUUUAGCAGAUUGCUUUUUUUCCCGUUAGAAUCAGUCCACAUGUCCUCGACACGGGCUAGAUUUGUUCUAGGAUUAUUUUUCCAGUAGUAAGCCAUGUAUCCAUGGACAGUCCACAACGCGACGUCUAAUGUAACAUCAUCAAGGUUCUUUUGACUAUCCCAUAAGAAACCAUUCCUUAAGACAACCGAUAUUGUGAGUUGAUAACCAACAACUAAUGUUACCAUGUGAUUGUUCCGCAAAACAA